RNAcentral lists this ribosomal RNA (301 nucleotides) under uncultured bacterium. RNAcentral describes it as "partial 16S ribosomal RNA". It matches the Rfam family "Bacterial small subunit ribosomal RNA", at positions 509 to 807 of the family's 1533-position model. The record is from RNAcentral.
CAGUCGCCGCGGUAAUACGAGGGGGGCAAGCGUUGUUCGGAAUUAUUGGGCGUAAAGGGCGCGUAGGCGGUUUGACAAGUCUGAUGUGAAAUCUAUGGGCUCAACCCAUAGCCUGCAUUAGAAACUGUCGGGCUUGAGUAUGGGAGAGGUGAGUGGAAUUUCCGGUGUAGCGGUGAAAUGCGUAGAUAUCGGAAGGAACACCUGUGGCGAAAGCGGCUCACUGGACCAUAACUGACGCUGAGGCGCGAAAGCUAGGGGAGCAAACAGGAUUAGAUACCCCCGUAGUCCCUGUCUCUUAUAC